CCUACGGGUGGCAGCAGUGAGGAAUAUUGGUCAAUGGGCGAGAGCCUGAACCAGCCAAGUCGCGUGAGGGAGUACUGCCCUAUGGGUUGUAAACCUCUUUUGUCGGGGAGCAAAAGCCGGACGUGUCCGGCUGUGAGAGUACCCGAAGAAAAAGCAUCGGCUAACUCCGUGCCAGCAGCCGCGGUAAUACGGGGGAUUCGGGCGUUAUCCGGAUUUAUUGGGUUUAAAGGGUGCGCAGGCGGAUUUUUAAGUCAGCGGUAAAAUCGUGGGGCUCAACCCCAUCCAGCCGUUGAAACUGGGGAUCUAGAGUGUGCGAGAGGUAUGCGGAAUGCGUGGUGUAGCGGUGAAAUGCAUAGAUAUCACGCAGAACCCCGAUUGCGAAGGCAGCAUACCGGUGCACAACUGACGCUCAGGCACGAAAGCGUGGGUAUCGAACAGGAUUAGAUACCCGUGUAGUC
This 458-nucleotide ribosomal RNA is filed under the name uncultured bacterium. RNAcentral's name for it is "partial 16S ribosomal RNA". It matches the Rfam family "Bacterial small subunit ribosomal RNA", at positions 338 to 795 of the family's 1533-position model. The record is from RNAcentral.